AGCGAACGCUGGCGGCAGGCCUAACACAUGCAAGUCGAACGGAUCCUUCGUGAUUUUUUGCUGACUUGUUUUUAACACGUUGUAACGUUCCCUUUUGUUCGGUACAACUCAUUGAAACUUGAUCUAAUACCGGUUUUGCCCUUCUGGUGUAAGAUUUAUCGCCAUUGGAGCGGCCCGCGUCUGAUUAGCUUGUUGGUGAGGUAACGGCCCACCAAGGCUACGAUCAGUAGCUUGUAUGAGAGGAUGAUAAGCCACACUGGGACUGAGACACGGCCCAGACUAGUACGGGAGGGAGCAGUGGGGAAUAUAGAGAAAUGGGGGAAAGGAUGAAGAAGCAAUGACGCGGGAAUGAUGAAGGUGUUAGGAAAGAAAAAUUCUUUAAGAGGGGAAGAUAAUGACGGUAACAGAAGAAGAAGCACCGGCUAACUACGUG
Molecule: ribosomal RNA, 433 nt
Filed under: uncultured bacterium
Lineage: Bacteria
Description: partial 16S ribosomal RNA
Rfam family: Bacterial small subunit ribosomal RNA
Source: RNAcentral